UGUUUUGUGAUGUAGGAUGUGGUCAAUGA
Molecule: non-coding RNA, 29 nt
Filed under: Homo sapiens (human)
Lineage: Eukaryota; Metazoa; Chordata; Mammalia; Primates; Hominidae
Source: RNAcentral